This 253-nucleotide ribosomal RNA is filed under the name uncultured bacterium. RNAcentral describes it as "partial 16S ribosomal RNA". It matches the Rfam family "Bacterial small subunit ribosomal RNA", at positions 524 to 776 of the family's 1533-position model. The record is from RNAcentral.
UACGUAGGGGGCAAGCGUUGUCCGGAUUUAUUGGGCGUAAAGAGCGUGUAGGCGGUUUGGUAGGUCCGCUGUGAAAACUCGAGGCUCAACCUCGAGACGCCGGUGGAAACCAUCAGGCUAGAGUCCGGAAGAGGAGAGUGGAAUUCCUGGUGUAGCGGUGAAAUGCGUAGAUAUCGGGAGGAACACCUGUGGCGAAAGCGGCGCACUGGACCAUAACUGACGCUGAUGCUCGAAAGCUAGGGGAGCAAACAGG